RNAcentral lists this long non-coding RNA (211 nucleotides) under Ananas comosus (pineapple). RNAcentral's name for it is "long non-coding RNA (ACOM_LNC013440)". The record is from RNAcentral. Lineage: Eukaryota; Viridiplantae; Streptophyta; Magnoliopsida; Poales; Bromeliaceae.
GCCCUCAUUUUCCACAACAAUGUGAUCAGCGAGAGGGCAAGUGCUUCAAGUGUGGGCUGCCGGGCCAUGUGCGGGACGAGUGUCCGCAGGGUGAUAACCGGGCCUUGACACUGGCGACGGCCCAUUCCUCUUUGGGACAGCCGGCGGGUGUGCCACCUGCGGCAUGGUCGGGGUAGCAGCCGUUGAGAGUGAUGCAACCAGAGGGUUCGCG